GACGAACGCUGGCGGUGUGCUUAACACAUGCAAGUCGAACGGUAAGGCCCUUUCGGGGGUACACGAGUGGCGAACGGGUGAGUAACACGUGAGUAACCUGCCCUCAUCUCUGGGAUAACAGUCGGAAACGGUUGCUAAUACUGGAUAUGAGCUUGCAAGGCAUCUUGUGGGUUGGAAAGAUUUUUUUUGGUUGGGGAUGGACUCGCGGCCUAUCAGCUUGUUGGUGAGGUAGUGGCUCACCAAGGCUUCGACGGGUAGCCGGCCUGAGAGGGCGACCGGCCACAUUGGGACUGAGAUACGGCGCAAACUCCUACGGGAGGCAGCAGUGGGGAAUAUUGCACAAUGGACGGAAGUCUGAGGCAGCAACGCCGCGUGCGGGAUGACGGCCUUCGGGUUGUAAACCGCUAUCAAUUGUGACGAAGCUUUUUUGUGACGGUAGCAGUAGAAGAAGCACCGGCUAACUACGUG
RNAcentral lists this ribosomal RNA (468 nucleotides) under uncultured bacterium. RNAcentral describes it as "partial 16S ribosomal RNA". It matches the Rfam family "Bacterial small subunit ribosomal RNA", at positions 28 to 507 of the family's 1533-position model. The record is from RNAcentral.